Molecule: non-coding RNA, 72 nt
Organism: Phrynosoma platyrhinos (Desert horned lizard)
Lineage: Eukaryota; Metazoa; Chordata; Lepidosauria; Squamata; Phrynosomatidae
Source: the annotation of a GenBank genome assembly
GCCAGUGUGGCAUAGUGGUUUGAGGAUUGGACUACAACUCUGGAUACUAGGGUUCAAAUCUCUACUUGAGCA